UAACUCGGGGAAACUCGAGCUAAUACCGCAUAUCUUCACAUGAUCGCAUGGUCGAGUGAAGAAAGAAUUUCGCUCUGAGAGGGUCUCGCGGCCUAUCAGCUUGUUGGUGGGGUAACGGCCCACCAAGGCAACGACGGGUAGCUGGUUUGAGAGAACGAUCAGCCACACUGGGACUGAGACACGGCCCAGACUCCUACGGGAGGCAGCAGUGGGGAAUCUUGCGCAAUGGGCGAAAGCCUGACGCAGCAACGCCGCGUGCGGGAUGACGGCCUUCGUGGUUGUAAACCGCUUUCAGCAGGGACGAAAAUGACGGUACCUGCAGAAGAAGCCCCGGCUAACUACGUGCCAGCAGCCGCGGUAAUACGUAGGGGGCGAGCGUUGUCCGGAAUCAUUGGGCGUA
RNAcentral lists this ribosomal RNA (400 nucleotides) under uncultured bacterium. RNAcentral's name for it is "bacterial SSU rRNA". It matches the Rfam family "Bacterial small subunit ribosomal RNA", at positions 144 to 562 of the family's 1533-position model. The record is from RNAcentral.